This 253-nucleotide ribosomal RNA is filed under the name uncultured bacterium. RNAcentral describes it as "partial 16S ribosomal RNA". It matches the Rfam family "Bacterial small subunit ribosomal RNA", at positions 524 to 776 of the family's 1533-position model. The record is from RNAcentral.
UACGUAGGGGGCAAGCGUUAUCCGGAUUUACUGGGUGUAAAGGGAGCGUAGACGGCUCGAUAAGUCUGAUGUGAAAGCCCGGGGCUCAACCCCGGGACUGCAUUGGAAACUGUUGAGCUAGAGUGCAGGAGAGGUAAGUGGAAUUCCUAGUGUAGCGGUGAAAUGCGUAGAUAUUAGGAGGAACACCAGUGGCGAAGGCGACUUACUGGACUGUUACUGACGUUGAGGAUCGAAAGCGUGGGGAGCAAACAGG